ACGCCCGACCCGAACCGUCCGGUC
This 24-nucleotide non-coding RNA is filed under the name Arabidopsis thaliana (thale cress). The record is from RNAcentral. Lineage: Eukaryota; Viridiplantae; Streptophyta; Magnoliopsida; Brassicales; Brassicaceae.